CAUUACAGAGUUCAUGCCCUUACGGGUAGAUCUCCCACCCUUGAAAUACAUACCUUUGUUGCUUUGGCGGGCCGCGGCCCUCCGCUACCGGCUCCGGCUGGUAUGUGCCCGCCAGAGGACCCAACUCUUGUUUUUAGUGAUGUCUGAGUACUAUAUAAUAGUUAAAACUUUCAACAACGGAUCUCUUGGUUCUGGCAUCGAUGAAGAACGCAGCGAAAUGCGAUAAGUAAUGUGAAUUGCAGAAUUCAGUGAAUCAUCGAAUCUUUGAACGCACAUUGCGCCCUUUGGUAUUCCGAGGGGCAUGCCUGUUCGAGCGUCAUUUUACCGAUCAAGCCUGGCUUGGUAUUGAGUCCCGCCUUCCAGCGGCCUCUAAACUCAGUGGCGGUGCCGUUCGGCUCUCAGCGUAGUAAUUUUAUCCCGCUACAGGGUCUCGCGGUUGCUUGCCAUAACCCCAACUUCUUAAGGUUGACCUCGGAUCAGGUAGGGAUACCC
RNAcentral lists this ribosomal RNA (492 nucleotides) under uncultured Ascomycota. Its description in RNAcentral is "eukaryotic LSU rRNA". The stretch from base 166 to 319 matches the Rfam family "5.8S ribosomal RNA". The record is from RNAcentral. Lineage: Eukaryota; Fungi; Ascomycota.